This 3540-nucleotide long non-coding RNA is filed under the name Mus musculus (house mouse). Its description in RNAcentral is "long non-coding RNA chr3:97914965-97918505". Lineage: Eukaryota; Metazoa; Chordata; Mammalia; Rodentia; Muridae. The record is from RNAcentral.
AAGGGCAUACAAUGCCAUUUUCAUCGAGGCAGCCCUCUUGAGAAACAUUUAAAUCUGAGACUAUGAAGAAAGAUCUAGUCUGCUUUCAGCGUCCUUCAGUCAGUCAAUUGAGUGUCUGCUGUAUUGAAGGUGUGCUGCUCUAUAACUACAUGUCAUUCUCACAGGUUUCCAGGCACGGUAUCUCAGCCGGGCCUUUGUUUUCUCCUAUUUUUUUUAAAGAUACUCCUCUGACUCACAAUGUUGUCCUUUAAAAAAAAAAAAAAGAUUUAUUUAUUAAAUACAUAGCGUUCUGCCUGCGUGUAUGUCUGCAUACCAGAAGAGGGCACCAGAUCUCAUUAUAGAUGGUGAUAAGCCAUCAUGUAGUUGCUGGGAAAUGAACUCAGAACCUCUGGAAGAGCAGCCAGUGCUCUUAACUGCUGAGCCCCUCCUUGCCAUUCUUCACAGUGCAUUGACUCCAUAGCACCUGUCCUUUCAGGAACUGAAGAUGACUGCCCUGAUCCUUGUAGCUCAGGUCACACUGGUCUCCUACCUUGGACUCUUAAAAUACUUCAUUAUACAAUCUUUAGCAUAUACUGUGUAGUAUGUCGGUUUAUUUGUAUGUAUGUGUUUUUAUGUGUACACAUGAAAAUGGAAGCAAAGUCAGCUCUCAGUGCUGUCCUCAGGUGCCAUUCCCCUUGGUGUUUUGAGGCAGUCUGUCCCUGGUCUGUGGUUUUCAAUUAUGCUAGGCUGGCAGACUCAGGGGUCCACAUAUUUGUCUCCCAGUGUUGCAGUUAUAAACAUAUUCCUCCCCAACCCCCAGACUUAGUUAUGCCUGGGGACCUACUCAGGUCUUCGAGCUUGCCCUGGCAAACACUGUACUGUCUCCUCGGCCCUGUUUAUUAAUAGAUCUACUUGCCAGAUUUUUAAAAUGGAAGUCAGGAGGCAACUUCAAGUAUUGAUCCUUGUCUUCUGUGUAAUUGAGACUCCGUGGAGUUACAUGUUUGCUUGUUUAAAUUCAGAUAAAGUCUCACUGUGUAGCUCAGUGACUGGCCUGGAACUCACUGUAUAGAUCAGCCAGGUCUUGAACUCAAAGAAAUCUACCUGCUUUUACCUCCCUAGUUCUGGGACUAAAGUCAUGCGCUCCCACACCACAAGACCAUGUCUCUUGUCUUUUCAUAUGCCAAGCUAGCUGGCCUGUGAGCUUCUGAACACUCUCAUGGGAGGACACUUCAGAGCUACAGCAUCUGGCUUUAAGUGAAUUUUGUGGAACUGAACUAAGGUCUUCAUGCCUGUGUGACAAGUGCUUUAUCCACUGAGCCUUCUCCCUAGCCUAUAUCAAGUACCUAUAAAAAAUGUAUUUGUUACUAAUGUGUCUCAUAUAUAUUUUAUAUAAAUCUAUAUUUAACAUAAAUAUUUAAAUAUAUUUUUGGCUUUGUUUUAUGUUUUGGAAAUGGUCUUUUAACAUUUUUUAUAUUCAUUUAUUUUAUUUUAUGCUUAUGAGUGUUUUGUCUGCAUGUAUGUAUGCGUACCACAUGUGUGUAUGUGUGCACACUCACAGAGAUCAGAAGAGGGCAUCAGAUCUCCUAGACCUGGAAUUAUGAAUAGUUGUGAGCCAUCACGUGGGUGCUGGGAACUGAACCUAUGUCCUUUACAAUAGCAGUACAUGCGUCUUACUAUCCAGCCUUGAGUCACUGUGUAUCUCUGACUUCCCUGGAACCAUUUGCUUCUGCCUCCUCGAUGCUGCCAUUACAAUGUGCCUUACUAUGCCCAGCUUAUAUAGACAUAGUUAAGGUAAAUUAAGUAAAAUGAAGUAGAGAUUUCUCAGUGAUGAUGAUUGGAUUAUCUAGAGAGAGUUUAAGUUAUAGAUAGCUGGGUAAAAUUAGAUCAAAUAUAUAUGAUAUGUGAUAUUAGUUAACCAUUAGAUAUGGACAUGUAAGCUCUUCAUUUCUGUGUGCUUAUGUGUUUGUGUGUGUGUGUGUGGUGUACAUGUUUGUGGGUAUAUGCAUGCAGUUGUAUGUCUGUACUUGGGUGUGUGGAGGCCAGAGGUUGAUAUCUGAUCUUUUUCUCCACUGUCCCUCAAUAUUUAUUAAGUCAGGCUCUCACUGAACUGGAGUUCCCUGAGCUAUGCUGGCCAGUGAGCUCCUGGGAGCUGCCUGUCUCUGCUCCCCAGAGUGGAUGUACAGACAUACAGUGCUGCACCAGGCUUCUGUGUGAGAGAUGUAGAUCUGAACUCAGGUCCUCAGGUCUGAGUGGCAGCUUCUUGCAAACUAAGCUAUCCCUUCAGCCUUAGGCUCUUUGAAGAUAGAUUUUUGUUGUUGGUGGUGGUGGUUUUUGUUUGUUUGGUUGGUUGGUUGGUUUUGUUUUGUUUUAGUUUGGUUUGGUUUUUCGAAACAGGGUUUCUCUGUAAAGCCAUGGCUGUCCUGGAACUCAUUCUGUAGACCAGGCUGGCCUUGAACUCAGAAAUCCGCCUGCCUCUGCCUUCCAAGUGCUUGGAUCAAAGGUGUGCACCACCACCGCCCUGCUUUGAAGAUAGGUUUUUAUGAAUGUUGUAUGUCUCCCAUACUUUUGUGAUUUUCAUCAUAAUGAUUACAGGUAGAUUCCAUAAUAAAUAUUUCUCAUUUCAACUUUGCUGUAUAUUCAUCAGCAGGGAGCUUGCCUUGGUUGUGCACUGCAGAAUUUAACCUUUAUGUCAGUAUCCCUCAGUUACCACAGCAUACAGCACCAUAGUCUUUAAACAUCAAAUUUUGAGUGUGGACUUUAUUAUUGUAAUAGACUUAAGAGUUUCUACCUGAGAUAAAGUAGACUAACAAAAAAUUUUCUUAAGCCCAAAAUUUAUAUAUUUCCACUUGUCCACAGGUAAGAGUUCUCUUGCAGAGCUCUUGUUUGCUGCAGAGCUGCCAGGUACACUGAUCGACAGGGUAUACACUUCUGCCUCUAAGUAGAUUUGCCUGCUCGGGGAGUGAAGAGGCUAUCUCAGGGAUUCGUUAAAUAUAGAGUGAGGGGACUGAGCGUCUUCUGAGUGCUUUCUUGUUGUAGGCGAUCCACUGUGGGCAUUUCUGUAUCAUUUGCAUUAAGUGCUGUGACCAAACACAGGACAAAGCAGCCUUUGGAGGAAGGAUUUGGUGGCCUCACAGUUUGAGGGGAUAGAGUUAAUCAUGGCAAACUCACGGUAUUAGGGAGUGUACAGCUUUGGUUCUUUCCCUCCUCACUCACCAGUAUAAUUGGAAUAGCAGACCUGAAGUACAGUAGGGACUUCCUGCAGCUAGGUCUCAUCUGUAAAAAGUUAUAGUCCCUAAAUAGUGCCACUAGCCAGGGCACCAGGAAUUCAAGUACUUGAGUGUGUGGGUGUCAUUUCACUUCCAUAACACUUUCUUAGUCUUCAUCUGAAAUAAGCAGAUCAGACCAGUUUCAUAGACAUUACUUUAAUCGACAUUUCUGUGUUGGUAACAUUUAUGAUCUGGAAAAGGUUCCAGAUGUGGCUCACCAAACAUAGUAUUCAGCAGAAGCAGUUGGUCCCUGGAGUCAAAAAUACCCCCAAAAUCCAAAAACAAAAAACAAACC